This 252-nucleotide ribosomal RNA is filed under the name uncultured bacterium. RNAcentral describes it as "partial 16S ribosomal RNA". It matches the Rfam family "Bacterial small subunit ribosomal RNA", at positions 524 to 776 of the family's 1533-position model. The record is from RNAcentral.
UACGUAGGGUGCAAGCGUUAAUCGGAAUUACUGGGCGUAAAGCGUGCGCAGGCGGUUGUGCAAGACCGAUGUGAAAUCCCCGGGCUCAACCUGGGAAUGGCAUUGGUGACUGUACGGCUAGAGUGUGUCAGAGGGGGGUAGAAUUCCACGUGUAGCAGUGAAAUGCGUAGAGAUGUGGAGGAAUACCGAUGGCGAAGGCAGCCCCCUGGGAUAACACUGACGCUCAUGCACGAAAGCGUGGGAGCAAACAGG